Unclassified non-coding RNA from Octopus bimaculoides (California two-spot octopus), 3407 nucleotides. NCBI's taxonomy places the organism in Eukaryota, Metazoa, Mollusca, Cephalopoda, Octopoda, Octopodidae. The record is from RefSeq and is a predicted model, not a curated record.
UUGAUGGUAACAAGCACGGCAGCCAUUUUCGAUUUUAAUUAACUUGCCUCUCUUUCUUCCUUGCGAUGACUCAUGCCAACAAAUACAAUAGACAGACCGAGAAAAUAUGCUAAUAUAUACACAGAUUGGAUUUCUCUCUUCUAAACACUUAGCCAUUAUGUUUCAGUCGGUCGAUAAUCCUGUAUUGUUUUUGCUUUAGGAAUGUUUAUGGUUAAAUAUUCUUUCAUUAACGCUCAGUUCGGACAGUUUUUUCAUAAAACAUGUCUCAUCAUAUAUUAUUUUAAAGUUGAAACCAAAACUAUGAUUUCGUAAACAGCUAAGCAGUCACAGGGGAUAAAUUCAACGAAAUUUCUGGAAGACAUCCAUUAUAAUUUCAUUAUAUACUCCCCAGACUCAAUUUCGUUUCAGUGUGUGUGUGUGUCCCACGACAUUAUGGCAUUGAAUUAAAUUAAGAAAAAGAUGUGGCAUCUUUUAUUUUAUUUUUUACUAUUUUGGAGAAAGAUAUAGUAUGUCCAAACAGUUAAGAAGUUAUCUCCGCGACAACGAGAUCUUGAGUUCGAUCCCACUGCAAGACAACUUGGGCAGAUGUCAUUUUCUAUAUAGCCUUGAAUUUGACCCAUGUCCUGUGAGUGAAAUUGGAGAGACGGAUGCUGUAUAAAAGGCCGUCAGGUGGACUGUUCCUGCAAUUCAAAUAGUACGCACGACCUGUAAUCGACCUGCACUUUCUCUCGGAUUUGCUGGCCUUGUGCCACAAAUGAGAAAGAAUUAUUAUUGUCUAAGGCGGCAAGCCAAAUACAAUCGUUAGCGCGUCGGACAAAAUGCAUAGCUCUCUUUUGACUCGUUACGGUCUAAGUUCAGAUUCCACCAAAGUCAACUUUACAUUCCAUCCUUUCAGGAUCGACAAAAUAAAGUAUUAGUUGAGCACUGUAGCCGAUGUAAUCGAAUCCCCUACUCAAAAUUGCUGGCUUUGUACCAAAAUUUGAAGCACACAUUAUUGUCCAAAGUGCCAUCAACUCUAUUAUCCUGCAGGAACUUAACUAACCAUCAGUGGUCUCUCUGGGUUGACUUGAGUAGAGUUUCAUCUUUGUAAACCUACAGAACGUCUCCAGUUCAAGGAUAAUUUCCAAGCUGUAGUCUGUUGUCUGCCUCCCAGUCACAGAUACUGACCUCCCUCGUGUGACACGCCACAAGAAGAAGAUGCCAAGUUAAAUUAUAAUAAACGUAUAAUAGACAGUAGAGUUUUGUGUGUGAUGUCUGUGUUUAGUGAAAGAAGAAAGCGUCAGCAACAAAUAAAGUGAAAUGAUUCCAGCUGGGGAUUGAAACGUCCCUCUUGUAUUAAAAAUUCACGUCUAGAAUGGAUUAUAGGAAGAUUACUCGAUACAGAUAGUUUUAACAGUGACAUUCAUUUUAUCGACACUACAGGGUGGUCCAAAAGUCUUGUUACCCCCUACAUAUUGUUUUCCAUUGUCAUUAUUACCUCCGCUUUAGUGAAGGCGGGGGUAUUGUUUUCAGCUGUGCUUGUUUGUUUGUCCGUAGACAAGAUAUCUCAAGAACCGCUGGAUGGAUUCGGAUGAAACUUUCAGCGAUAUUUGGCCUCGUGACUGGUUCAACUGGUGCUUAUUUUAUCGUUCCCGAACGGAUUAAAGGCAAAGUUGACCUCGGCGGAAUUUGAACUCGCAACGUAGCGACGGGCGAAAUACAGCUAAGUACUUCGCCAGCUCGCCGCCUUAAUGUGUUUGAGUUAAUAAUAAUAAUUUUUAGAAUAAACACAUGUACACAAAUAUCAAGGAAAACGGUAUAACCAACUAGGUCUACCCGAAUACUUGGUUUGUACUAACUGAAUUGUCCGUGGAAAGAUAAACGAUAAAGUCGACCCUGCUGGAAUUUGAACUCAGAAACUUGACAAACUAUCGAGGCAUUCUCCGUUGUUACUCAAACAAUUCUGUCAUUCAGAAUAAAGACAAGCAGCAAGAGUUUGAAUUCUAAGCGGAUUAGUGUGGUGAUCAUACCUCUCUACAAGAUAAUGAUUGAACGCAUCUGUUCUUGUAGAGUCCAGUUAAUUGUUGAAAGUUUUGUAGGCCUGAAAUUAAUCGACAGGAAAAAAAAUUCCGUCAACCCCAAUAUGAAAAAUUAUUUAUAAAAACAAUAAAGGAUCUAUUCAGUUUCAAUCGAAAACUAUUAUUUGCAAACAAAGUUUAAACGUCUUUUUUUAUGAAAAUAGAGAAAAAAAAUAAAAAUUCGCCCAUUAACUGAAUAUCUCUUGAUGAUAUUAUUUUAACAAGCGACAUAAUUCGGUUAACACCGCUCGCAUGUUUCCGAUUCCCAGCUGAUUUCCCUGCCAACUACCAUCACUUCAGUCUUCUCCAGGCCUCCAACACUCAAAGAAACUCUUGCUGUAUACAAUGGAAGUAUUUAAUGAAUCUGUGUUUUAACAAAUGUUUUCAACAGGGAAACGUCUACAACCAAACAACAAUUAUUUGUCCAGCAGGAAACAUUUUCUCUGUUUAUAAACUGAAUAUUUUGUGAAAACCUUUUGACAUCAGAUGUUAUUACCUCAUUCCUCCAGAAGUGAAGAACAAGAAUCAAAAUAUUGUUAAUAAUUAUUUGAACCAAAAAGUCUUAUAAAGUGGAAACCUCUGAAAAUAAAGGCAUUCAACAAAUAUUUGUCAUUAAUUCAGGGAAAACCUUGAUAACUCCAUGUCUGAUAUGGCUUUGACUGGUCAACAGAAAGUGGUUUACAAGAAGGACAAAGAGUUUUCUGAUCUUGUUUCCUUAACCUUUGAUUGUGAAAGUCCAUCUUAUUGGCCAAUGAAGAAGCUUAACUGUUCCAUCUGUCAUCGAAGGUUUCAUCUCCGCACUACUUUGAACUUACAUAAAAAAGUCCACUUCACAUUGAAGCCGUUUACAUGUCCAAGCUGUUUUACUCGUUUCCCCACCAAAACACUCUUACACAGACAUUCUUCCUCUCACACCAAUCUUACGGAACCCAAUUGUUUUCUCUGUAAAAAAUUCUUCUCGGACUUCUCCAGUCUGAAAACCCAUGAGUUCUUUAUGCUUUGUGUGAAACCAUUUGAGUGCAAUAAAUGUGAGAUGAAGUUUACACUGAAAGCUCAACUUUGGCAGCACCAGAAAUUACACAAAAUGGCAAAUGGUGAAAGGCUGUUUAGUUGCGAAACUUGUGGCAAGAAUUUCUACUCCAAAGGUACUUUCUUUGUCCAUAAACGCUGGCAUAAGAACAGCCGUCAGCUUUCAUGUGAACUUUGUCAUCAAAGAUUUUAUCUCAAGAGUUCUGUGUUUGCUCAUAAAAUUGAACAUUCUUCUUCACACAAACCUUAAUAAAGAAAAUGAAGGAACAUAUGAUUGUGUAUGUGUGUAAACAUUGUAAAUAAACAUCCUGAUUGAUUUCA